Molecule: ribosomal RNA, 254 nt
Filed under: uncultured bacterium
Lineage: Bacteria
Description: partial 16S ribosomal RNA
Rfam family: Bacterial small subunit ribosomal RNA
Source: RNAcentral
GACGUAGGGCGCAAGCGUUGUCCGGAAUUAUUGGGCGUAAAGAGCUCGUAGGCGGCUUGUUGCGUCGACUGUGAAAACCCGUGGCUCAACCAUGUGGUCUGCAGUCGAUACGGGCAGGCUAGAAUUCGGUAGGGGAGACUGGAAUUCCUGGUGUAGCGGUGAAAUGCGCAGAUAUCAGGAGGAACACCGGUGGCGAAGGCGGGCCUCUGGGCCGAUACUGACGCUGAGGAGCGAAAGCGUGGGGAGCGAACAGG